This is a transfer RNA of Paenibacillus polymyxa SC2, 107 nucleotides long. It matches the Rfam family "tRNA". Rfam says of the family: Transfer RNA (tRNA) molecules are approximately 80 nucleotides in length. Lineage: Bacteria; Bacillati; Bacillota; Bacilli; Caryophanales; Paenibacillaceae. The record is from Rfam.
GCUGAUAUAGCUCAAUGGGUAGAGCAAGUGAUUUGUGUGCUGUACGUACAAUGUGUCGGCUGGUUCACAAAUGUUAGGUUGGGAGGGUUCGAGUCCCUUCGUCAGCG